UACGGGGGGGGGCAAGCGUUGUUCGGAAUUACUGGGCGUAAAGGGUUCGUAGGUGGCCAACUAAGUCAUACGUGCAAUCCCUCAGCUUAACUGGGGAACUGCGUCUGAUACUGGAUGGCUUGAGAUUGGGAGAGGGAUGCGGAAUUCCAGGUGUAGCGGUGAAAUGCGUAGAUAUCUGGAGGAACACCGGUGGCGAAGGCGGCAUCCUGGACCAACACUGACGCUGAGGAGCGAAAGCCAGGGGAGCAAACGGG
RNAcentral lists this ribosomal RNA (254 nucleotides) under uncultured bacterium. RNAcentral describes it as "partial 16S ribosomal RNA". It matches the Rfam family "Bacterial small subunit ribosomal RNA", at positions 524 to 776 of the family's 1533-position model. The record is from RNAcentral.